This 940-nucleotide ribosomal RNA is filed under the name Alternaria alternata. RNAcentral describes it as "eukaryotic LSU rRNA". The stretch from base 171 to 324 matches the Rfam family "5.8S ribosomal RNA". Lineage: Eukaryota; Fungi; Ascomycota; Dothideomycetes; Pleosporales; Pleosporaceae. The record is from RNAcentral.
UUGGCCCUUCUCGUUUGACGCGGGCUGGACCUCUCGGGGUUACAGCCUUGCUGAAUUAUUCACCCUUGUCUUUUGCGUACUUCUUGUUUCCUUGGUGGGUUCGCCCACCACUAGGACAAACAUAAACCUUUUGUAAUUGCAAUCAGCGUCAGUAACAAAUUAAUAAUUACAACUUUCAACAACGGAUCUCUUGGUUCUGGCAUCGAUGAAGAACGCAGCGAAAUGCGAUAAGUAGUGUGAAUUGCAGAAUUCAGUGAAUCAUCGAAUCUUUGAACGCACAUUGCGCCCUUUGGUAUUCCAAAGGGCAUGCCUGUUCGAGCGUCAUUUGUACCCUCAAGCUUUGCUUGGUGUUGGGCGUCUUGUCUCUAGCUUUGCUGGAGACUCGCCUUAAAGUAAUUGGCAGCCGGCCUACUGGUUUCGGAGCGCAGCACAAGUCGCACUCUCUAUCAGCAAAGGCCUAGCAUCCAUUAAGCCUUUUUUUCAACUUUUGACCUCGGAUCAUGAAGGGAUACCCGCUGAACUUAAGCAUAUCAAUAAACGCAGGAAAAAGACUCACACCAGACAGUCCUUUUUUUUCAUAAAAUAGUGUCCUUCCAAAAACACUCCAAAAGGCGUUUAUCCCAAAUGGAAAGAAUGCUUACGUGAGAAGAACAAAAUGCGUUCCAAAUUCAUAUCCAUGAAAAUAUAUACGAGCAGAAUAAAUCUUCGAUUUCUCUUUUGAAGAAAUGAAAAGCAGGUGUUCUGUCUAUCAGAACUAGUACUCCAACUGCAUAUAUGCGUGGAAAGACACUCAUAAUAUGCGCAGGGAGACGCCUCGUCUACCCGAUAACGAUAGUUUGACCGAUAUUUCCAUGAGCACGGAUGGUGUAUUAUAUAUCUAACGCGAUUUAGUGUAAAUUUGUCUCCUAAACGAAGAGUAUAUAAAACUAGAAGUGCCUGG